This 2160-nucleotide ribosomal RNA is filed under the name plant metagenome. RNAcentral describes it as "bacterial LSU rRNA". It matches the Rfam family "Bacterial large subunit ribosomal RNA", at positions 14 to 2181 of the family's 2925-position model. The record is from RNAcentral.
AGAGCGUAUGGGGGAUGCCUUGGCUCUCAGAGGCGAUGAAGGACGUGAUAAGCUGCGAAAAGCUGUGGGGAGUCGCAAAUAGACGCUAUAUCCACAGAUGUCCGAAUGGGGCAACCCACUAAGUCGAAGACUUAGUACCUCGCAAGAGGAGCAAACCCGGAGAACUGAAACAUCUAAGUACCCGGAGGAAGAGAAAACAACAGUGAUUGCGCAAGUAGUGGCGAGCGAACGCGCAAGAGCCCAAACCACAUUAGUUACGGCUAGUGUGGGGUUAUAGGACUACAUAAUCAAAACCGAAACAGAUUUGAACUGGGUGGGAAACCAGGCCAUAGAGGGUGAUAGCCCCGUAAUAGAAAGUAGAGGGGAGAGGUAGUAUCCUGAGUAGGGCGGGGUCGGAGACGCCCCGUUUGAAUUUGCCGGCACCAUCCGGUAAGGCUAAACACUCCUGAGAGACCGAUAGUGAACCAGUACUGUGAAGGAAAGGUGAAAAGCACUUCGAACAGAAGGGUGAAAGAAGAACCUGAAACCAUACGCUUACAAGCGGUCAGAGCUCCGCAAUGGAGUGAUGGCGUGCCUUUUGCAUAAUGAGCCUACGAGUUACUGUCACUGGCAAGGUUAAGCGACUUAAGUUGCGCAGCCGGAGCGAAAGCGAGUCUGAAUAGGGCGCAUAGUCAGUGGGAGUAGACGCGAAACUUUGUGAUCUACCCUUGGUCAGGAUGAAGUUCCGGUAACACGGGAUGGAGGUCCGAACUAGUAAACGUUGAAAAGUUUUUGGAUGAACUGAGGGUAGGGGUGAAAGGCUAAUCAAACUGAGAAAUAGCUCGUACUCCCCGAAAUGUUUUUAGGAACAGUGUGGAGGUUGAGUUUGUUAGAGGUAGAGCUACCAAUUGGACUAGGGGGAGUCACAUCCUACCAAAUCCAGAUGAACUCCGAAUGCUAACAAAUAUACUCUGCAAUGAGGGCGCGGGUGCUAAGGUCCGUGUCCGAGAGGGAAAGAACCCAGACCUACAGCUAAGGUCCCAAAAUCUAUACUAAGUUGAACUAAGGUGGUUCAGUUGCUGAGACAGCCAGGAGGUUAGCUUGGAAGCAGCUAUUCCUUUAAAGAGUGCGUAACAGCUCACUGGUCGAGCGACAGAGCAUCGAUAAUAAUCGGGCAUCAAGUAUAGUACCGAAGCUUAGGAUUUGCAGCAAUGCAAGUGGUAGGGGAGCAUUCUAACAGCGGAGAAGUCGUGUGGUAAUGCACGGUGGAGCGGUUAGAAAAGCAAAUGUAGGCAUAAGUAACGAUAAGGCAGGUGAGAAACCUGCCCACCGAUAGACUAAGGGUUCCGCGGCAAUGUUAAUCAUCCGCGGGUAAGUCGGGUCCUAAGACGAAACCGAAAGGUGUAGCCGAUGGCCAACUGGUUAAUAUUCCAGUACUACCGUAAUGAGCGAUGUGGAGAAGGAGUAGUGAAAGUUCCGCGAUCUGACGAAAUAGAUCGUUAAAAGGCGUAGGUAUAGAGUUUGUUGGCAAAUCCGCAGACUUUGCUGAAACCCAAUAGUACCAGGAGGCUUCGGCCAAAUGGAUAGAGAACCUAAUCAGACUUCCGAGAAAAUCUGCUAAGCAUAUUGUUAUGGUACCCGUACCGCAAACCGACACAGGUAGUCAAGGAGAGAAUCCUGAGGUGCUCGAGUGAAUCAUGGCUAAGGAACUCGGCAAAAUUACCCUGUAACUUCGGGAGAAGGGGUGCCUCGCUGUAGCAAUACAGCAGGUCGCAGAGAAAUGGCCCAGGCGACUGUUUAACAAAAACACAUGGCUUUGCGAAAUCGAAAGAUGAAGUAUAAGGCCUGACACCUGCCCGGUGCUGGAAGGUUAAGGGGGGAUGUUAGUGGGGUAACCUGCGAAGCAUUGAACUGAAGCCCCAGUAAACGGCGGCCGUAACUAUAACGGUCCUAAGGUAGCGAAAUUCCUUGUCGGGUAAGUUCCGACCUGCACGAAUGGUGUAACGAUCUGGGCGCUGUCUCGGCCAUGAGCUCGGUGAAAUUGUAGUCACGGUGAAGAUGCCGUGUACCCGUCACGGGACGGAAAGACCCCAUGCACCUUUACUAUAGCUUCACAUUGACAUUGGGAAGAUGAUGUGUAGGAUAGGCGGGAGGCUUGUAUCCGUGGCCGCUAGGUUACGG